AUAAUUGAAAAAUUUCCCUGACUGCUAUUUGCAGGACUACCCAUCAGUUGGACAACUAGCUACGGCGCUGGAAAGAAACAAUAUUCAGCCCAUAUUUGCAGUGACAAAAAAUGUAGAGAGUGUCUACAAGGACCUCUCUAAAAUGAUUCCAAAAUCUGAAGUGGGAGUUCUGUCAUCAGAUUCUAAAAAUGUUGUUCAGUUGAUUGAAACUGCCUACAAUAGUUUGUCCUCGAAAGUAACUGUGACCCAUGACAAUCUUCCUGACAAUGUAAGAGUUGUCUACACCCCUAUAUGCGUGCAUGCAGGACCAGCAGGGGACAGGACAGGGGUUUGUGAUAAUGUGCGUGUGGGACAAAACGUAAGUGUUUUGGGAACUUUUUCCUGUUGAUUUUUUUUUAUCAAGUGCAUCAGUUUUAGGUUUUAUAAUUGUAAUUUUAAAUUGUCUUUUAUCUAUACAGGUGUAUACUAAAGAAAGUAAAAAUGAUAUGUUUGAAAGUGUUAAAUACAGCGACUAUGAUACAUCAACACAGUGGCGGCUGGUGAACAUCUUAGCUGGGGGGGGCAGUCUGCAAAUGCCCUUUUAUGUUAAAUCAGAAAUUAGAAUAUGAGUAACAUCAGCACAACUAUAUACAGGAAUGCAAAU
Long non-coding RNA from Stegastes partitus (bicolor damselfish), 643 nucleotides. RefSeq lists it as uncharacterized. Lineage: Eukaryota; Metazoa; Chordata; Actinopteri; Pomacentridae. The record is from RefSeq and is a predicted model, not a curated record. The transcript has 3 exons.